UGGGGAAUAUUGCACAAUGGGCGCAAGCCUGAUGCAGCCAUGCCGCGUGUAUGAAGAAGGCCUUCGGGUUGUAAAGUACUUUCAGCGGGGAGGAAGGGAGUAAAGUUAAUACCUUUGCUCAUCGACGUUACCCGCAGAAGAAGCACCGGCUAACUCCGUGCCAGCAGCCGCGGUAAUACGGAGGGUGCAAGCGUUAAUCGGAAUUACUGGGCGUAAAGCGCACGCAGGCGGUUUGUUAAGUCAGAUGUGAAAUCCCCGGGCUCAACCUGGGAACUGCAUCUGCUACUGGCAAGCUUGAGUCUCGUAGAGGGGGGUAGAAUUCCAGGUGUAGCGGUGGAAUGCGUAGAGAUCUGGGGGAAUACCGGUGGCGAAGGCGGCCCCCUGGGCGAAGACUGACGCUCUGGUGCGAAAGCGUGGGGGGCAAACAGG
RNAcentral lists this ribosomal RNA (429 nucleotides) under Chloroflexota bacterium. Its description in RNAcentral is "Chloroflexi bacterium partial 16S ribosomal RNA". It matches the Rfam family "Bacterial small subunit ribosomal RNA", at positions 355 to 776 of the family's 1533-position model. The record is from RNAcentral. Lineage: Bacteria; Bacillati; Chloroflexota.